CCUACGGGUGGCAGCAGUGGGGAAUAUUGCACAAUGGGCGCAAGCCUGAUGCAGCCAUGCCGCGUGUGUGAAGAAGGCCUUCGGGUUGUAAAGCACUUUCAGCGGGGAGGAAGGCGUUAAGGUUAAUAACCUUGUCGAUUGACGUUACCCGCAGAAGAAGCACCGGCUAACUCCGUGCCAGCAGCCGCGGUAAUACGGAGGGUGCAAGCGUUAAUCGGAAUUACUGGGCGUAAAGCGCACGCAGACGGUCUGUCAAGUCGGAUGUGAAAUCCCCGGGCUCAACCUGGGAACUGCAUUCGAAACUGGCAGGCUAGAGUCUUGUAGAGGGGGGUAGAAUUCCAGGUGUAGCGGUGAAAUGCGUAGAGAUCUGGAGGAAUACCGGUGGCGAAGGCGGCCCCCUGGACAAAGACUGACGCUCAGGUGCGAAAGCGUGGGGAGCAAACAGGAUUAGAUACCCUUGUAGUC
RNAcentral lists this ribosomal RNA (465 nucleotides) under uncultured Klebsiella sp. RNAcentral describes it as "bacterial SSU rRNA". It matches the Rfam family "Bacterial small subunit ribosomal RNA", at positions 338 to 795 of the family's 1533-position model. Lineage: Bacteria; Pseudomonadati; Pseudomonadota; Gammaproteobacteria; Enterobacterales; Enterobacteriaceae. The record is from RNAcentral.